RNAcentral lists this ribosomal RNA (200 nucleotides) under uncultured bacterium. Its description in RNAcentral is "partial 16S ribosomal RNA". It matches the Rfam family "Bacterial small subunit ribosomal RNA", at positions 28 to 225 of the family's 1533-position model. The record is from RNAcentral.
GACGAACGCUGGCGGCGUGCUUAACACAUGCAAGUCGAACGGUGAUGGCCAGCUUGCUGGUCUGAUCAGUGGCGAACGGGUGAGUAACACGUGAGCAACCUACCCUUCACUCUGGGAUAAGCCCUGGAAACGGGGUCUAAUACCGGAUAUGAGACGUACAGGCAUCUGUAGCGUCUAGGAAAGAUUUAGUCGGGUGGGGA